CACAUUCUAACAGAAAAAAAUCUCUCUCUCUCAUUUGGCUCAUUCUUCAUUUUGUAAAGUCUGUCAAAAACUCCAAAGAAACUAAGCCUUGCCUUGCCUAAAACAUCAUUCAAACAACCUUGUGAGCACAUUGCAACCUUAUUUUUCUAUUUGGCUCAUUCUUCAUUUUGUAAAGUCUGUCAAAAACUCCAAAGAAACUAAGCCUUGCCUUGCCUAAAACAUCAUUCAAACAACCUUGUGAGCACAUUGCAACCUUAUUUUUCCAACUGGAAGCUUCUCUCCCACUGCUGUUUUAAAGAGGCAUCGGCCAUGGCAGCAUUCGUGUUCCU
Molecule: long non-coding RNA, 329 nt
Filed under: Lathyrus oleraceus (garden pea)
Lineage: Eukaryota; Viridiplantae; Streptophyta; Magnoliopsida; Fabales; Fabaceae
Description: Pisum sativum (pea) long non-coding RNA (PSAT_LNC042003)
Source: RNAcentral